This 640-nucleotide long non-coding RNA is filed under the name Lathyrus oleraceus (garden pea). RNAcentral describes it as "Pisum sativum (pea) long non-coding RNA (PSAT_LNC039016)". Lineage: Eukaryota; Viridiplantae; Streptophyta; Magnoliopsida; Fabales; Fabaceae. The record is from RNAcentral.
GGCCAUCCUAAAUUUUUUUAUCUGGCUCCGCCACUGGGUUCAUGUCUAAAAAAACUCAAUUAUUUUAAGGUAGAUUGCUUUAUUGGAAACCUUUAGAAUUUUUUUUUAUAUUCUGACCAUCCAUUUUAUUAUAUGUAAAUAGAAACCACGAAAAAAGAAAAAGAAAAAGAAGAAUUAUGACAGACACUCUUCUUUCAUUGUAUACAAUAUCCAAAAAGGUUCUGGCAUGCCGACACCUAGGGUUUGAAUCAUGAAGCACCAAUUUACUCCUAUUGUGGUUUUCAGUCAUGAAGUAACAAUUUGCUCUGGCUCUGACCCCGGUAAUAAUUUCGACACCGAUGAUUUUAAUCGUGAAGUAUCAAUUUACUACUCAUGUAGUUUCAGGUAUGCCCUAUCAAUUUAUGCAUGAAUAUCGUGAUAUGAUCCUUUCUUUUACAUCUUAUCAUUUACCCCUCAUACCGUGUCAGACUUGAAUGUUAUACUAAAGUAUAUUAACAAUAUGAUUCUUUCAAAAAAGAUGGAUGCGUAUGUCAAAACAACAAUAUGAAUGAGAUAUUUAUAUAAUUAUAUAAUAAAAAUAUUAUAUAUAUUUAAAGAUUAUCAUUAAUCACUUUUGUUUAUUAUGUAUUUUUAGAAAAAA